GACCUCGUAGCUCAGUUGGUAGAGCAUUUGACUUUUAAUCAGAGGGCCAUGGGUUCGAGUCCCAUCGGGGUCACCA
Molecule: transfer RNA, 76 nt
Filed under: Rhodospirillaceae bacterium
Lineage: Bacteria; Pseudomonadati; Pseudomonadota; Alphaproteobacteria; Rhodospirillales; Rhodospirillaceae
Also listed under: 1 other name
Description: tRNA-Lys
Rfam family: tRNA
About the family: Transfer RNA (tRNA) molecules are approximately 80 nucleotides in length. Their secondary structure includes four short double-helical elements and three loops (D, anti-codon, and T loops).
Source: RNAcentral